Molecule: long non-coding RNA, 516 nt
Filed under: Daucus carota (carrot)
Lineage: Eukaryota; Viridiplantae; Streptophyta; Magnoliopsida; Apiales; Apiaceae
Description: long non-coding RNA (DCAR_LNC006896)
Source: RNAcentral
GAGGGAGGGAGGGAGGGGGGGAGAGAGAGAGAGAGAGAGAGAGGAACCUGUGAAUAGAGACGAGGCAAGAAACAAAGAUGGAAGUAAAUGGGAAGGAGAUUAGCGUUGGAUAGACCGUAGAAAACACGCAGAAGAAGUGAAAUUAGUAAGGCUGGGUGGGUGGGGCUUGUUGUAUAGGGAGAAUAACAGAAUAAAUAAAAAAGGAGAAGAAUAGUUGGUAAAGAAGAGCAGAAAGCUAACAAGACACAGAAACAAAAUCAAAACAGCAAUUUGUGUGUGUGUGUGGAGAUUCUUGAUUCUGUACGGUCUAUCUUACGCUAUUCUGCCCCCCUUUUCUAACCUCCGGCUUGCUUUCCAGUCUCUCUGUCUGGUCUCUCCUCUCUCUGUGCCUGCUUCCAAAUAAUAAUUCUAAGCUCUCUAACUAUCCUUCUUUUAUACUGCCGCACGAGGCCACGAGGGGAGCUAGGGUAAUUUCAUUGCAUCUCUAUUUUCCUUUAAUUCUUUUUUCUUUGAUAU